Molecule: ribosomal RNA, 301 nt
Filed under: uncultured bacterium
Lineage: Bacteria
Description: partial 16S ribosomal RNA
Rfam family: Bacterial small subunit ribosomal RNA
Source: RNAcentral
CAGCAGCCGCGGGAAUACGUAGGUCCCGAGCGUUGUCCGGAUUUAUUGGGCGUAAAGCGAGCGCAGGCGGUUAGAUAAGUCUGAAGUGAAAUGCCGGGGCUCAACCCCGGAGCUGCUUUGGGAACUGUAGAACUGGAGUGUCGGAGGGGUAAGCGGAAUUCCCAGUGUAGCGGUGAAAUGCGUAGAUAUUGGGAGGAACACCGGCGGCGAAGGCGGCUUACUGGACGACAACUGACGUUGAGGCUCGAAGGCGUGGGUAGCAAACAGGAUUAGAUACCCCCGUAGUCCCUGUCUCUUAUAC